GAUGAACGCUGGCGGCGUUCUUAACACAUGCAAGUCGAACGGUGAAGGCGGAGCUUGCUCUGCUGGAUCAGUGGCGAACGGGUGAGUAACACGUGAGCAAUCUGCCCCUGACUCUGGGAUAAGCGCUGGAAACGGCGUCUAAUACUGGAUACGAGCUGCGAAGGCAUCUUCAGCAGCUGGAAAGAACUUCGGUCAGGGAUGAGCUCGCGGCCUAUCAGCUUGUUGGUGAGGUAACGGCUCACCAAGGCGUCGACGGGUAGCCGGCCUGAGAGGGUGACCGGCCACACUGGGACUGAGACACGGCCCAGACUCCUACGGGAGGCAGCAGUGGGGAAUAUUGCACAAUGGGCGAAAGCCUGAUGCAGCAACGCCGCGUGAGGGACGACGGCCUUCGGGUUGUAAACCUCUUUUAGCAGGGAAGAAGCGAAAGUGACGGUACCUGCAGAAAAAGCGCCGGCUAACUACGUG
RNAcentral lists this ribosomal RNA (468 nucleotides) under uncultured bacterium. RNAcentral describes it as "partial 16S ribosomal RNA". It matches the Rfam family "Bacterial small subunit ribosomal RNA", at positions 28 to 507 of the family's 1533-position model. The record is from RNAcentral.